ACCAAUUCCGGGGGAUAUGUGGUUCCUCCUGGUAUAAUGGCUCGGACGCCAGAUUAAUGAUGUGGUCAUCCUGAUUGAUGGUUUCAUCAUCGUGCCAUUUGGUCUUGGAAACGCCACCAAAACUG
Non-coding RNA from Vigna radiata var. radiata (mung bean), 125 nucleotides. Lineage: Eukaryota; Viridiplantae; Streptophyta; Magnoliopsida; Fabales; Fabaceae. The record is from Rfam.